UACAUGUAAGAGAACGGUUCCAAAAUCAUUGAAUCCGAAGAGUAGAUCAAACUCACUUAAUUACCGAUCUUCUGGUGAAAAAUUUCACAUCUGGAAGCAAGAUCAUGAAGACUUCAACCUUUAUUUCGACUCUCUGUUGCUUUAUCAUUUUGUAUUCUUUCAUUCACGUUUCCGAUGCCUUUUUCAAGGGACAUGGUAGAGGUAAUGUUGGUAAGAGGUUCCUCGAGAAAAGAAAUAUGCAAAAUAUCUGCCAGUCCGUUUACGAGCUCUGUGCAACUCAUCAGCAGACACGUGACACACAGGCUGAAAAUAGGAAACUAAAGAACAGAGACCCCGAAUUUUCUCGAUCAUCGAUAAUGCAAUUUUGAACAUUCUGAAAUAGCAUUGGAGAAGAUUAUCAGCGUUACUGUUUUAAAAUGCAGUAACAUUAUUCUUCAAAAGAAUUUUAAUUGAUUGAAAAAAGGAACAUGUAUAAAUGCUGAUUAUUUUAAAACUUCAUUUGGCUUGUUUAAUGAUUUGUUUCUUAAGGACUAUGGGAAUUUAUCAAGCUUGUGAUUUGACAAUAAAUAAGUGAACGGUA
Stylophora pistillata is the source of this 580-nucleotide long non-coding RNA. RefSeq lists it as uncharacterized. Lineage: Eukaryota; Metazoa; Cnidaria; Anthozoa; Scleractinia; Pocilloporidae. The record is from RefSeq and is a predicted model, not a curated record.